Molecule: long non-coding RNA, 424 nt
Organism: Galeopterus variegatus (Sunda flying lemur)
Lineage: Eukaryota; Metazoa; Chordata; Mammalia; Dermoptera; Cynocephalidae
Exons: 3
Source: RefSeq, a predicted model, not a curated record
AGACAGAGGGAGCUACUUUAUCAAAGGAGUGGCAGCUGAAAAUAAGAACAAAGAAGAUUUUGAAUUCCUGUUGGAAGAAGGUGAAUUCGAGAUGGCUGAGUGUGAGUUAAUUGCCUCUGAGCAUUUCUAGAACUGCUGCUUGUACAUCUUACUCCUGGAAGGAUCCCUAAUCCUGACAACUGGAAUUGUUUCAAACUAUGUUAUCAAAUAGGACCACUUCUCUGGAAUCCAUAUCCUUCAUAUCAGAUGACUCCUCCUGUCACCAGAAACAGCACCUGCACCUGACAAAAUGAUGGAAAUCCUGGACCACAGAGCUUCUCCACCUCUGCUUACUCCACUACUCUGUUUUCUGUGUUUGUUAUGUCACCUCCCUUUCUUAGUCGACCCACUCUCAUAGCCCUUUAAAAUUUCACUUUUAGAGAUU